Molecule: ribosomal RNA, 492 nt
Filed under: uncultured bacterium
Lineage: Bacteria
Description: partial 16S ribosomal RNA
Rfam family: Bacterial small subunit ribosomal RNA
Source: RNAcentral
AGUGAACGCUGGCGGUAGGCCUAACACAUGCAAGUCGAACGGCAGCACAGUAAGAGCUUGCUCUUACGGGCGGCGAGUGGCGGAAGGGUGCGGAAUACACCGGAAUCUACUUUUUCGCGGGGGAUAACGUAGGGUAAUACCCGCUACUACCGCAUACGACCUACGGGUGAACGCAGGGGAUCUUCGGACCUUGCGCGCUUGUAUGAGCCGAUGUCGGAUUAGCUAGUUGGCGGGGUAAAGGCCCACCAAGGCGACGAUCCGUAGCUGGUCUGAGAGGAUGAUCAGCCACACUGGAACUGAGACACGGUCCAGACUCCUACGGGAGGCAGCAGUGGGGAAUAUUGGACAAUGGGCGCAAGCCUGAUCCAGCCAUGCCGCGUGGGGGAAGAAGGCCUUCGGGUUGUAAAGCGCUUUUGUUGGGAAAGAAAAGCAGCUGGUUAAUACCCCGCGGUACUGACGGUACCCAAAGAAUAAGCACCGGCUAACUUCGUG